This 277-nucleotide ribosomal RNA is filed under the name uncultured bacterium. RNAcentral's name for it is "partial small subunit ribosomal RNA". It matches the Rfam family "Bacterial small subunit ribosomal RNA", at positions 26 to 287 of the family's 1533-position model. The record is from RNAcentral.
AGAACGAACGCUGGCGGCGUGGAUAAGACAUGCAAGUCGAACGGGAUUACUUCUAGUAGCAAUACCUGAAGUAAUUUAGUGGCGAACGGGUGCGUAACACGUGGGGAAUCUGCCGAGAAGUGGGGGAUAGUUCGUCGAAAGGCGAAUUAAUACCGCAUAUGAUCAGCCAAGACAUCUUGGCGACAUCAAAGCCGGGGCAACCUGGCGCUUCUUGAUGACCCCGCGGCCUAUCAGCUAGUUGGUGAGGUAACGGCCCACCAAGGCUAUGACGGGUAGC